UAGCCGUAAACGAUACUCGCUAGGUGUCGGCCACGGUGCGACCGUUGUCGGUGCCGUAGGGAAGCGUGAAGCGAGCCACCUGGGAAGUACGGCCGCAAGGCUGAAACUUAAAGGAAUUGGCGGGGGAGCACCACAACGGGUGGAGCUUGCGGUUUAAUUGGAUUCAACGCCGGAAAUCUUACCGGGACCGACAGCAACAUGAAGGCCAAGCUGAAGACUUUGCCGGAUUAGCUGAGAGGAGGUGCAUGGCGUAGUCGUGU
RNAcentral lists this ribosomal RNA (260 nucleotides) under uncultured archaeon. Its description in RNAcentral is "partial 16S ribosomal RNA". It matches the Rfam family "Archaeal small subunit ribosomal RNA", at positions 748 to 1009 of the family's 1478-position model. The record is from RNAcentral.